AUCGUUCAUCUCAUUUGUGAUUCAAGGCACAUUUCGCGAUCGCAAAUGAGACGGAAGUAGGGGCAUCCCCGAAGGAACGCGCC
Molecule: non-coding RNA, 83 nt
Filed under: Oscillatoriales cyanobacterium
Lineage: Bacteria; Bacillati; Cyanobacteriota; Cyanophyceae; Oscillatoriales
Also listed under: 1 other name
Description: Glutamine-I sequence
Rfam family: Glutamine riboswitch aptamer (glnA leader)
Source: RNAcentral